This 1192-nucleotide long non-coding RNA is filed under the name Macaca fascicularis (crab-eating macaque). RNAcentral's name for it is "lncRNA (ENSMFAG00000060955.1)". Lineage: Eukaryota; Metazoa; Chordata; Mammalia; Primates; Cercopithecidae. The record is from RNAcentral.
AAAAUCCAUCACGUAAACACGCCUGUGAAAGUCAAAGCAGCACAGUAGCUCACUGGAAAGGUGAAAGUUUCUCAUCAUCACACCCAUAGAGAUAAUGGGGGCGGGGUGGGGGCAAUCGCACGUGUGUGCUCUGUGCACUCACAGCCGCCCCUCCUCUGCUCUCUGGCUCCCGAUGUGCGUAGUGAGAGGCAGACACCAGGCUAGAAUCAGGAGGCCAGCGCCCUGUCCCAGUGAGUUUGGGUCUUGAGACAGUGAGUAGCAAGAGUGCAGAGAGGAAGGGAUUUAUCGACAAAGUUAUCUGACUUUGAUUCUCGAGCUCAAUAGGGAGAGUUUGAAUAACAAGGGACACUGAUACUAACACAUGUGUUAAACAGAGAAACUGCUUCUCAUAUUUGAUAGGCAAUAAAUGUCGCAUUUAUUUAUACUUCUAAGCAAAGUCUCAUUCUCACUUGCUCAUUUUCGGAGAGUGAGAAAGCCCAAGAUCUCAUGGCCCUUCCCCUUCCUCGGGUUAUGGACACCAGGGCCCUGGGGACUGCAGAGCUGGGGAGGUCUCCUGGGAGUCACAGGGGGCCAUGGAGGAGAGCGGAGGAGAGAAUGCUGUUCUUGGGUGUGAUCAGGUGGCUGUCAGAUCCCCGCUCCUACAUUCGGUAGGGAGUGACCUUCGGAAAAUUAUGUAACCUCUCUAAGUCUCGGUUUUCUCAUCUGAAAAAUGGAGCUGAUGGUAAUAAACCUCAUCCAGGAGAACAGUAUUUGUUGAUCAUCCUCAUGGCAUUCUUUUUAAGAGCUUCACAGCACUCCAUUAUAUGGGCAUUAAAUCGUUAAUUUAUUGUGUAUAAUCUCAGCUCACUGCAACUUCCACCUCCUGGGUUCAAGUGACUCACCUGCCUCAGCCCCCCGAGUAGCUGGGAUUACAGACAUGCGCCACCACGCCCGGCUAAUUUUUGUAUUUUUAGUAGAGAUGGGGCUUCACCAUGCUGGCCAGGCUGGUCUUGAACUCCUGACCUCAGGUGAUCCACCCACCUCAGUCUCCCAAAGUGCUGGGAUCACAGGCCUGAGCCAUCACUCCGGGCUCAUAGACCUAAAUGUAAAACACAUUUGUUGAAUGCCACGAAACCAGCAGCUUUGCUGUCACCACCAGAGGGCCUCACAUGAUUUGGAGAAUUUUCAAACAGGGAUAUUGAUGCAAACAAAC